GCGGGAGGCGUAACAGGACUGGACUCCCGGCAGCCCCAGGGCAGGGGCGUGGGGAGCUGGUCCUAGCUCAGCGCUCCCGGA
This is a microRNA precursor of Gorilla gorilla gorilla (western lowland gorilla), 81 nucleotides long. NCBI's taxonomy places the organism in Eukaryota, Metazoa, Chordata, Mammalia, Primates, Hominidae. The record is from Ensembl.